UUUCCGUAGGUGAACCUGCGGAAGGAUCAUUAUUGUAUAACCGAGGUGCGAGGCCUGUCGCUGACCCGAAAGGUCGUGCACGCCCGAGUCCCCUCACACACAUCCAUCUCACCCCUAUGUGCACCACCGCGUGGGUCCCCCUUUGGCUUGUUCGGAGGGGGGCUUACGUUUUCACACAAACUUUGUAUGCAGUGUAGAAUGUAUUUUUUGUUUUUGCGAUCACGCAAUCAAUACAACUUUCAACAACGGAUCUCUUGGCUCUC
This 263-nucleotide unclassified non-coding RNA is filed under the name plant metagenome. Its description in RNAcentral is "partial contains small subunit ribosomal RNA, internal transcribed spacer 1, and 5.8S ribosomal RNA". The record is from RNAcentral.